UUUAAGGUCUAAUCUGCCCUAUGAGUAGUUAAAUGGCUGCGGUAUUUUGACCGUGCAAAGGUAGCAUAAUAAUUAGUUUUUUAAUUGAAAGCUGGAAUGAAAGAUUGAACGAGAAAAUUUCUGUCUCAAUUUAAUUUUGAUUAGAAUUUUAUUUUUAAGUAAGAAAGCUUAAAUUUAUUUAAAAGACGAGAAGACCCUGUAGAGUUUUAUAUUAUAAAUUAUAUUAUUUUUUUUUAGUAUUUUAAUUUUAAUAUAAAUUGUAAUAUUUUGUUGGGGUGAUGGUUAAAUUAAUGAAACUUUUUUUAUUAAAAUACAUUAAUAUAUGUUUAAUUGAUCCAUUAUUUAUGAUUAUAAGAUUAAAUUACCUUAGGGAUAACAGCGUAAUUUUUUUUAGAGUCU
This 399-nucleotide ribosomal RNA is filed under the name Aulacoserica sp. DA0495. RNAcentral describes it as "partial 16S large subunit ribosomal RNA". The record is from RNAcentral. Lineage: Eukaryota; Metazoa; Arthropoda; Insecta; Coleoptera; Scarabaeidae.